Molecule: ribosomal RNA, 420 nt
Filed under: Enterococcus faecium
Lineage: Bacteria; Bacillati; Bacillota; Bacilli; Lactobacillales; Enterococcaceae
Description: bacterial SSU rRNA
Rfam family: Bacterial small subunit ribosomal RNA
Source: RNAcentral
GACGAACGCUGGCGGCGUGCCUAAUACAUGCAAGUCGUACGCUUCUUUUUCCACCGGAGCUUGCUCCACCGGAAAAAGAAGAGUGGCGAACGGGUGAGUAACACGUGGGUAACCUGCCCAUCAGAAGGGGAUAACACUUGGAAACAGGUGCUAAUACCGUAUAACAAUCGAAACCGCAUGGUUUUGAUUUGAAAGGCGCUUUCGGGUGUCGCUGAUGGAUGGACCCGCGGUGCAUUAGCUAGUUGGUGAGGUAACGGCUCACCAAGGCCACGAUGCAUAGCCGACCUGAGAGGGUGAUCGGCCACAUUGGGACUGAGACACGGCCCAAACUCCUACGGGAGGCAGCAGUAGGGAAUCUUCGGCAAUGGACGAAAGUCUGACCGAGCAACGCCGCGUGAGUGAAGAAGGUUUUCGGAUCGU